This 305-nucleotide ribosomal RNA is filed under the name uncultured bacterium. Its description in RNAcentral is "bacterial SSU rRNA". It matches the Rfam family "Bacterial small subunit ribosomal RNA", at positions 337 to 640 of the family's 1533-position model. The record is from RNAcentral.
UCCUACGGGGGGCAGCAGUGAGGAAUAUUGGUCAAUGGUCGGGAGACUGAACCGGCCAAGCCGCGUGAGGGAUGAAGGUACAGAGUAUCGUAAACCUCUUUUGUCAGGGAACAAAGGCGGGGACGUGUCCCCGGAUGAGUGUACCUGAAGAAAAAGCAUCGGCUAACUCCGUGCCAGCAGCCGCGGUAAUACGGAGGAUGCGAGCGUUAUCCGGAUUUAUUGGGUUUAAAGGGUGCGCAGGCGGUCUGUUAAGUCAGCGGUCAAAGCCCGGGGCUCAACCCCGGCCCGCCGUUGAAACUGGCAGG